Brassica napus (rape) is the source of this 2827-nucleotide RNA transcript. RefSeq lists it as uncharacterized. The record is from RefSeq and is a predicted model, not a curated record. Lineage: Eukaryota; Viridiplantae; Streptophyta; Magnoliopsida; Brassicales; Brassicaceae. The transcript has 4 exons.
AAAGAAAGUUAAUUAAAAAAUUUAAAAGAUACAUGAAAAAAUAAUUAUUACACAAAUUUAAAUAUUACAACAACAUUAAUAGUCUAGUAAAUUUUCUCUCGAACCUCCAAAAUCUCUAAAGCAUUGUCCAAAUUUGUUUUUUGUAAAAUAGAAGAUGGAGCAUUACAAAUUAAAUUUUAUGAAAAUGUUGUAUUAUACUUGUAGUUAAAUAUUUAGUUAUGUAUUUCUAUUUAUAAUUUUAUAUAUUUAGUGUAAGAUUUUAUUCAUUAAUAUUACCUUAAUAUUUUUAGGUAUGUACUAGUUAUUUAUAAAAGUUUAAUAGAUUUAUAUUAAUUACAAUAAAUAUAAGGAUCAUAAUAUAAAAUACAAAUAAUUAUGAACUUAAGUUUAAAGUUUUGCUUUCGGACAAGAGCAUUUUGAAACUUCAAAUUUAGAAUUUUACAAAUUUUAAAAUAGAGAGUCUUUUUGGAGAUAGUCUUAGAGGCGCAAAGUUUUUUUUUCUCGUCAGUUUCUUAUAUUGAUUUGUACAUUGGAAAUAAUCGGUAAUUAUAGGACGUAUGAGUAUUGGAAAGCAGAGUAGAGUUGGUGAAAUAGUACUUUGGUUAUGUAAAGUGUAAACGGAAUCUAGGUGAAUGGGUUGAUGGAAAAGAAUUUUAAUGCUUUGAUCACUGAAAUCUAGGCGAGCGUAUUUUGCUGCUACCAAGUAUCUGAAUGACCAAUCCAAGGUCGUGCAGUUAAUUAAUGAUUCAAAAUUAAUUUACUUCUGAUAUGUACUAUAAUGGAAGAACUAUUUUUGUCUACACAUAAUUAUGAUAUAUCAAUAUGGGCUGAAGAAAGCCCAAGCCAAAUGCUUUGUCAUAACCUACUUGAAAAAUGUUAGGGGCUUAUUGGAUCUGUGAUCCGGAGUAAGUUUACUCUCCUGAGGGCUCCACAUCAAAUUCCAGGUCAGAAACUCAAGUUUCCUUGUGCUGACACGUGUCCGAGAAAUAUGAAACUCAUCGUUUCAUUUACUUUACUUGGAAAUCGGAUGGGCUUAUAUAUCGUUAAGCGUAUAUUUGGUUUGGUCAUUUUAUUGGCUUCGUUGGGCUUCAUGUUUUAUCCAAGUCUUCGAUCCCGGUAGCAAGUUAGGCUUAUCGUCUCCAAACCAAAUUUUAGGGUUCGCAAUCCUCUUCGAUCUCCAACAACGACGAUGUUCAUAUGCGCUCACCACACCAACAAUGGAGGAUCUCCGUGUUUCUCUUCAAUCACCUAGACAUUCUUUUCUACAAACCGUUACGGGAUGCUUUGAUUCAUCUUCAUUAAUGACCGUCUUAACUCAUUCGGCCACUCAAAACACGUUUCCUCAUUCAUUGCAUCUUCCCUUUGUACAAGGAGGUGAAUCUACAGCUAUAAAAAGUUUAGCUUUCAUCAUGUGAACAUCAUUCUCACAAUCCUAAUAAUGGAGCAUUCAACGAUUCCAGUUUUUUGUUUUCAAUUCUUCUUGCCUGAUCUCUUUUUUGGUUAUGUGAGUGUUCGUUGUGUAAUUGAUCAUAUCAUGCUGUAUUACAAUAGCAGAGUCUUUCCUACGGCUUCAAGUUUUUAAGGAAUUGAUAUCAAUCUCGCUUAUGGAUUUCAGACUUACGACUUCCACUUCUUUCAAUCAAGGUAUUUAUUUGCAGCGAUUAAUUUGUCUCUUAAUUUUAUCAUUAAAACUGUAAAUAAGGGAGUUUGAGCGCUGGAUAUGAAGGGUCUUUAAAAAAUACGUGUUUGCGGAAGGGGAAGAAGAUUCUGGAGGAGAAAUUGAUAAGUUUGAAGUCAAGCUUUCUAGAAGAAAGAAUUGGAUCACAGGUUAGUCUAAACUUCAUGAAUAAUAUGCGUCUGGGAUUUUAUGUCUCUUUGUGGGACAGGUUACUUUGCUCUCUAAGCAGUAUAAGUAGAACUUUGAAGCAUAGAUCUUUUUUGGUUAUUGUGAUUUCAACCAUCUGUUCUUCAUAUUUUGUUUACACAUUUUUCAUUCUAGAAUGGAGACUUUAAUCAGAUCAAACAAAUCAACCACACAAAUUUUGUAGAUAUUGUUUUGUUGUAGCAUUCGUUUUACUUUGCACUUGAAGUUGUGAUGCUGGUUGCUACCUCGCGGUCGCGAUUAAACUACGAUUUCACGACAUCGGUUUUAUGCCAUACGCCAGCUUAGACUGAGAUGGAAACUUUCAUUUGCUUAAAGUAUUAGGUCUUCAAACUUCAUAUCCUGUUUAUAUCUUUGGUAUCUUCGUUUCCAGAAAUUGAUGUUUCUCAUUCAGAUGGCUUUGUCUGGGUUUCAAUUGACUGAAUGGAAUAAGCAGUCUUCUGCGAAGGAGGUCAUGCACAGGACUCAAAGAGACAUGUAUGUUCAUGAAAGAAACAAUGAAGGUUCACAUGUAAGGCUUUGACCCACAGCCACUGGGUGGCGCCGGUCCAUCAGCAGCGCCGAGCUCAAAGGCAGUUAAAAGACGCUAAUGAAGUCAAGAAUCUAACGUUUGUCACUUAGGAAGACUGCUAACGACUUUGACGAAGUUAUCAGGUAAUAAUUCUUUUCGCCAUGACAUGCAUUGGUGGAAGGAGGAGGAUUCUGCAUCAUCUUCUUUGCUUCAAGUUUUUCCUUUGGUUUGCUUCAGAGUCAAGGAAAGGCAGCGUUAACAUUUAUCUCUUGAACAAGCAGCCAUAGAAUUCUGACAAAGAAAUUCAAUGCAACUCAGGAAAUGUUAAUCAGAUUGUGAAACGCAAAAGAAUAUGCUGGUUUCAAGUAUGCUUUGGAAACUUUGUUAGAGACUCUUGAUAUGACUUGGUUUCAAAAUAUUAAGUUUACGAUCCA